CAGGGAUUGCCCUAGUAACGGCGAGUGAAGCGGCAACAGCUCAAAUUUGAAAUCUGGCUCUCGGGCCCGAGUUGUAAUUUGCAGAGGAUGCUUUUGGUGAGGUGCCUUCCGAGUUCCCUGGAACGGGACGCCAUAGAGGGUGAGAGCCCCGUCUGGUUGGAAACCGAGCCUCUGUAAAGCUCCUUCGACGAGUCGAGUAGUUUGGGAAUGCUGCUCUAAAUGGGAGGUAUAUGUCUUCUAAAGCUAAAUACCGGCCAGAGACCGAUAGCGCACAAGUAGAGUGAUCGAAAGAUGAAAAGCACUUUGAAAAGAGAGUUAAAAAGUACGUGAAAUUGUUGAAAGGGAAGCGUUUAUGACCAGACUUGGGCUUGGUCAAUCAUCCAGGGUUCUCCCUGGUGCACUUUUCCAGCCCAGGCCAGCAUCAGUUUUCCCCGGGGGACAAAGGUUUCGGGAAUGUGGCUCACCUCGGUGAGUGUUAUAGCCCGUUGCGCAAUACCCUGGGGGGGACUGAGGUUCGCGCAUCUGCAAGGAUGCUGGCGUAAUGGUCAUCAAUGACCCGUCUUGAAACACGGACCAAGGAGUCGUCUUCGUAUGCGAGUGUUCGGGUGUCAAACCCCUACGCGUAAUGAAAGUGAACGCAGGUGAGAGCUUCGGCGCAUCAUCGACCGAUCCUGAUGUUCUCGGAUGGAUUUGAGUAAGAGCAUACGGGGCCGGACCCGAAAGAAGGUGAACUAUGCCUGUAUAGGGUGAAGCCAGAGGAAACUCUGGUGGAGGCUCGCAGCGGUUCUGACGUGCAAAUCGAUCGUCAAAUAUGGGCAUGGGGGCGAAAGACUAAUCGAACCUUCUAGUAGCUGGUUUCCGC
RNAcentral lists this ribosomal RNA (862 nucleotides) under Fusarium cyanostomum. RNAcentral describes it as "eukaryotic LSU rRNA". It matches the Rfam family "Eukaryotic large subunit ribosomal RNA", at positions 69 to 961 of the family's 3401-position model. Lineage: Eukaryota; Fungi; Ascomycota; Sordariomycetes; Hypocreales; Nectriaceae. The record is from RNAcentral.